GGAGAAAUGGAUACACCAUGUGGAAUGCCUGCAUUGCAUGCUUUCUUAGAGGAAAACUUAAACCACCGACCACUGAAAACAUAAGUAAUCUGAAAGUACUGGAUCUAUAAUCAGUGACAUCAGAGUGAUGGCAAAAUUAAAUUCUGUGUGCAUGAGCUACAUUUUCCACCAGUCAGUAUGGAACUGAUUAUAUACAUCUGGAUGAUUCGUUGCUCUCCGGGCUGCUUUUCCUAUAAUUGAGAUGAAGCUCACUGAUAGGAAUUCCAAGGAUUACCUUUAUUUUUGUUAAAAGGAACAAAAAAAAUAUUAACCCCUCUGUGAUUCACAAAAUUGCUGUGAAGGUUAGAGAGUAAGUGGGUACUUAUUAGUAUAACCGAGGCCCCAACCCUCACCCUAAAGCUGAAAGGUUUCAAAGAGCUUGAUAACUUUUUUCAUGAUUUAUCAUUUUUGUACCACCUUAUCAGUUUUCACUAAUGAGACAAGUGGGUUUCAAACAACAUAUGACCCUCAUUUCAACUUUGCAUUGCUCCGUUGAUGUGCAUCUGAGGCUUCUUAAUGAUGUGCAUUUGCUAAAUGAGUGUUUACUCAUGUUCAUGUACACAGUAUAAAUCAGCCUUCACUUACCAUGUAAUGAAAAUAUAAUGCAUCUCAUGAGGCUGUGCCAAUUAACAGGAUUUUUAAAAGCUCAAAAUGUUGCAUCAGUUUUAUUAUGCCGAUAAAUAGUCACUGCUUAUUAAACAGUACCUUUAAAUACUAAAUUAAAUAAAAGCUGCAUGUUCAUUUCUUUAUUGCAGAAGCUAUAAGCUCUGCUAGCUGGCAGGAAUCCCUAAAACCUGCACCCUACAAUAAAAUAGAGCAGCUCAGGAACAUCAUGUUUGCGACCAAACACCCAGUCAGAAUAGGCUCCUGAGGGAUAUACUUAGGCUGCUGACAGAUAUUCAAUUUAACACACAAUGGGAACCAUCCAUAAAGUUAUUAUACGUAUUUUGUGUAAUGACUUUGUGGCUUAUUCCCAGUUUUAUCACACCAUUAAUUGCAUGAACGUGUGACCAGGUUACAAUUUAAGAGGUGAUUAACUAGUUAAUCACAUCUGAAGUGUAAUGUCUGCCAGGGACCUUUGAUAAGCCACAUUUACUUAUGCAGGCUACAGAUCCUUCCUGAACUGCAGAGAUUUUUUAGACUCCAGAGAAGAACUAUAAAAAUAACAUGCCCCCGAUGCAUACAGCUCCAAAGCUCUAUGUAUUUCUCCACCUCUCAGGUAAAACUCUACCAGCCAGACCCUAUCACACUAACCCACAAGAGCUGCAUAUUAUGUAGGCUGAAGCUUCAAGGUGGCCUCUAAUUCCUUUAUCUUCUUGAUGAGCCUGCCACAAGCAAAACCAGCACUCCAGCAAUUGGGGCAUUUGGGACACACCUGUUUUGACAUAAUGAACCACCACAGCAAAGCAAUCUCUGAUUGUACCUACUAAUUCUGAGUCUGGACAGUGGCCUUUGUAUUUAGAAUUCAGGAACCAAAACAGAAACAGGAUAUAACAACGUGUGCGCUCUAUUUAUGCAAUAUGCCAAGCAGCCACUUGAAACACAAAAAAGGUUUUGUCCCUACGAUGAAAUAGUUUCAAGCAGAGCCCCUGCUGGUUAUUUGAUAAAAAAUCAGAUUAAUAAAAGAUGGAUCACAUCUACAGUCUCAUUUAAUCUCUCCUAUGUUAUCACUUAUUAUAAUUUUGUCAAAUCAAUACAAUUUGAAAAUAAAGAGUCUCUAUCAAGAUAAUCAUUUCAGCCAACAGACACUGAAAUCCUUGUAACAGGUUCCUUUAACUUUGUAGGGCAGGAGAGUUGGUUUUGUUUAAUUGAUAACAAUAUUAAUGAUUUUUAAGAUAUUCAAACCUGUCAUGUACAUUUUAGUAUCAAAUUAGGAAUGAGGUCAUGUAAGUAUAUCUUCAAAUAUACUGUACAUUUUUCCCUUGCUUGUCUCAUAGCUUCCUAGCGUUAGAUCCAACUCUCUUAUUCUAUAUAUCACUUUGUGAAAUAUGAAUACCAGCACAUGAAACAUACUGGAACACUUGUGUUUAAAAAUAUAUCUCAUAAGCACUAUCUGCUGUAGAGCAUUCACUGUUUAAGUAGUAACUUAUUUUUCAUAAAGUUGCCACCUCAUUAUUCCAUAUUAUUCUUUUAUUGAUAGAGAAUACUUAAUAUGUGUAACGUUAUGCCUACCGGCAAAGCUGUAAUAUCAAGGAGAAAGGACAACUGGAAAAUACUUUAGGGAGAUAAGAAUAAAAGUGAUUACAACAAAUUUAGAGGCUAUUAAGAAAAAUACAAUGCACAUUCUCUGCAAAAGAGAAAAAAAGGAAAAGAUUAUUUAGGUUUGUGGAUGAAGUGCUCAUAAUGAAUUUUUGAACUUUUGCAUUCACUUGCAGUUAAAGAGAAAAUGUGAUCUGUAGUACCACAAUUGUAUAUCUGAUACAAUGGUAAAUUUGAACAUUAAAGGAAUUUUCAGAUUAAUUUUCUGAGUGCAUGGGGGUUCAAUCGUUUAGAAUGUUUCAAGAGUAUUAUGUAAUGAUCUUUAUCAUACAUUGAACUUCAAUUUGCCUUAAACUGUAUGCUUACA
Long non-coding RNA from Alligator mississippiensis (American alligator), 2605 nucleotides. RefSeq lists it as uncharacterized. NCBI's taxonomy places the organism in Eukaryota, Metazoa, Chordata, Crocodylia, Alligatoridae. The record is from RefSeq and is a predicted model, not a curated record. The transcript has 3 exons.